ACGUAUGGUGCAAGCGUUAUCCGGAUUUACUGGGUGUAAAGGGAGCGCAGGCGGUGCGGCAAGUCUGAUGUGAAAGCCCGGGGCUCAACCCCGGUACUGCAUUGGAAACUGUCGUACUAGAGUGUCGGAGGGGUAAGCGGAAUUCCUAGUGUAGCGGUGAAAUGCGUAGAUAUUAGGAGGAACACCGGUGGCGAAGGCGGCUUACUGGACGAUAACUGACGCUGAGGCUCGAAAGCGUGGGGAGCAAACAG
RNAcentral lists this ribosomal RNA (251 nucleotides) under uncultured bacterium. RNAcentral describes it as "partial 16S ribosomal RNA". It matches the Rfam family "Bacterial small subunit ribosomal RNA", at positions 525 to 775 of the family's 1533-position model. The record is from RNAcentral.